UACGUAGGGGGCAAGCGUUAUCCGGAGUUACUGGGUGUAAAGGGAGCGUAGACGGUGAUGUAAGUCUGGAGUGAAAGGCGGGGGCCCAACCCCCGGACUGCUCUGGAAACUAUGUGACUGGAGUGCAGGAGAGGUGAGCGGAAUUCCUAGUGUAGCGGUGAAAUGCGUAGAUAUUAGGAGGAACACCAGUGGCGAAGGCGGCUCACUGGACUGUAACUGACGUUGAGGCUCGAAAGCGUGGGGAGCAAAUAGG
This 253-nucleotide ribosomal RNA is filed under the name uncultured bacterium. RNAcentral describes it as "partial 16S ribosomal RNA". It matches the Rfam family "Bacterial small subunit ribosomal RNA", at positions 524 to 776 of the family's 1533-position model. The record is from RNAcentral.